RNAcentral lists this long non-coding RNA (5690 nucleotides) under Nicotiana benthamiana. Its description in RNAcentral is "long non-coding RNA (NBEN_LNC037856)". The record is from RNAcentral. Lineage: Eukaryota; Viridiplantae; Streptophyta; Magnoliopsida; Solanales; Solanaceae.
AGAAGUUUUGAAUAAUUCAAACAUUCAUUUUGCGAGGAAAAAACUUUGUAACAUAUCAAAGUACGAAAAUACAUUUUAAUUUCAAUUGAGCACAAAAGUAAUAUAUGUCCUAAGACUGUGUAUGUGUUUUCUGAUAAAAUGACCAUAAAUGAGAUUCUUACAAGAAAAACAAACUACAAAUAAUAAACGGUCGAAAGCAAAAUAGGCUAUAAUUUAAGAUGUUCACGGACGCUGUUGAUGAGAUGCUUAGCUAGCAUGAUGAUGAUCUGGUGAUGAAAAAAAAAUUAAAAGAGAUUUCAAGACUUGAAUUUGCAGCUUUAAUUGCAUAAUGUAAUUAGCAGCUUGAAGAAACAGUUGAUGAGAAGGUAGUUGGCUUGCCCCUGGGAUUAGCCUCUGCAGCUUCACCACUUUGUCUUGCUGCUGCUGAAGAUCGUCAUUUAAAACAUAGCCCAUUCUUGAUCUUCUCCUCCCCCUAAGUCUCCUUGUAUUCUUUGUUGAUUUCAUGAGUACCCUUUCUGCACCUGUCCUUUUUCUGUAACCCAUAAUUUCAAACUUGAUUUUGGUUCAUGCAAACUCAAAGGAACAGCUAGUGUGUAUAUAUGUAGACACAAAAGUAUUAUUAAUGCAGAGUUGGCAAAACAUGUGUUUAAUCUAUGGCGCAUGUAAACUCAUGCAUGUGAAUAGGUGAUGGCUUUGGUUUGACACUUAGGUCGACUCAUAUGUCUGGCCUACUUUAACACCAACAUACUUAGCAACAUCGUUUCUUUUGUGGUUCUGUUAUCUUAACGUAUCUCAUUAAGUUUUGUAUGGCCAACGGUGGGCAAUAUAAAUUUUUUAAAUUUACAAUAACAUGUAACUUUCUAUAGUAAACAUGAUAUAUAUGAUAAUUCAAAAAUUAAAGUAAUUAAUAAAAUAGCAUAGUCAUCGAUCGGAUCACUAAUAGUAUUAGCAUUAUCAGUAUAUAUAUAACUUAAUCAUAUUCAGUUUAGCAAUGUAAAGGAGAUCCUUGAAGCAAGGUAAAGUUGUCUUGGAAUCGUAUGGAAGCAGUCACUAAUGCUUGCAUUAACGUAAAUUUUCAAUGUCUCGCUCCUUGGAGUGCGAUCCUUCCCUGGAUGCUGCAUGAACACAAAAUACCUUAUAUAUGCACCGGACUGCACUUUUUUCAUAUUCAAUUUAGCAUUAUGUUUUGAACUUGCGAGCUAUUACUUGUCUUCUCAUGUUAAUACUGUGGCCAAAUAGGCUUUCAUCAUUCUCUAUCUACAAGUAAAAGAAGUGGAUAAUGAAUAGUACAUCAUUCUCAAAUAGAAGAAAGUGAUGUCAUGUGGGAAACAGAUAAUGUGUGGAAAUAAAUUUGGAAGCAAAGAUAUGUGGUUUGUGGAGAUCAAGUGUUGGCUGCGGCCAAGUGGCAUAUAUUGUGAUGUGGGAAUUUUGCUGGCGGAGACGAGGCACAUGGCUUGACAGCUCUCUCGAACUGAGGAACUCAUGGCGACCACUAGAUUUUGGUUUAUUUUUACCAUCAUAAACUACAACUAAAAUAAAUAAAAAUGUAUUGACAACUUAAGCUUUUAAUAAAAGGGGUUGCACAACAUUUUGAAUUUAAAGUUGAAAAAUAAUAUUAUUUGAAGAUAAAUUUGGGGAAAAAAAGGUUUCGUGAACGCUCAAUUGGUGUUAGACGAAUUGUACGGAAGCUUUCUUAGAUUGUGAAACGUAAGAAUUGUCUAGUAGAAACUGAAAAAUUGGAAAUAAGAUGAAAUUCUUUCGUUUAGACUGAAGGAAGAAGUGGAAAUUUAGUGGAACGCAAAACUGAAUAUUUUCAGUGAUACUAAUUUCCUCCAUCUCUUCUCUACUCUAAAAAGAAUUUAUUCUAUACAGGAACGUAUUCGCACUUUCAUAUGUGGAUCAAUUGUUAACACUUGGAAAUGAUUUUGGGGAGAUCAAUGUUGAUUAGAGUUGUUGGGAGUCUUGGAUCGACGGUAAAAUUGUUUUUGUGUGGUCCAUACAUCAUAUGUUCAAGCAAUAAAAGUCAUCACUAAUAUCUGUAUCAAGGUAGGUUAUCUACAUCACACCUCGUAGAGUGCAGCCCUUACCUGAACCUUGUGUGAACAAGAGAUAUCAUGUUUAUAUAUAUAUAUAUAUAUAUAUAUAUAUAUAUAUUAUUACGAGAGCUUCUAUAUAGUGUCAUUUUUUCAAUUUUUCUUAAUAAUAGGAGGCAGGAAGCCAUUCAUGAACACACGAAGAGAAGCAACAAACCAAUUAACCAACACAUCAAUUGGAUUGGACUUGGAAAUUUGAUCCUAUACAGAGCCAUCUAAAAAAACUCUGUAUGGGUCAUGUUGUCUGUUCCUCUCUUUCUUCUUUUUUCAGCUUUUUUAUUUAGGAAAAAUGGAUAACGUAUAUAAAUUCUAUACACUUUUCUGACUGCUAAAUGCAAAUAGUUUCGGUGGGUUCCCUUAACUAAGACACUGCCUAUGGGUCGCCGACUCAUUCUUCAACGGGCACGCGGUCAGAGCCUAAGCUAGUGAUGCUUUCGGCUACUGGACUUUCGCCAUCUAGGGUGCAGCAUUCGGGCUGCUUCGCCUAGCUGCACGACGCUUGUAUUGCUCUCCCACAACCCCGUUUUCACGGUUUAGGCAGCUCCCAUUUCGCCCGCCGCUACUACGGGAAACACUCGGGUUGCUUCGCUUGGGCGCAGGCUAAAAAUAAAAAAACUCCUUUUCGUUUUUUGUUAAAAUAGCACGGACUAUCUAGUUUUCGGGCUGGUUAUUCAAAAAUAGACAGUGUUUGCCAGAUCAUUGAAAAAUAGCCACUAUUUUACUGCAAAGAGACCGGUCCAGCAUAAUAUACUGGAGUUCGAUACACCUGUAUAUGAACUUUCAGCAUAUUAUGCUGGAGCAGUAUACUUUGUUGUCUCCAAUAUAAUAUACUGGAUAUUGGAGCAUCGGUGCUCCAAUUUCCAGUAUAUUAUAGGGAAACUUACACAAGUGUCUCAAAUAAAUCUCAACUUACCAACCUCUAGUCAUUAGUCAUAGACUUACCAAAACUAGCCAAUAAAAUUAAAAAAACCAAAUAAUAUGGUUCUUUCUAUCAAAGAAUCGCAUGCAAAAAUUACCUUCCAUAUUUAUAAUCGCGAUUAGCAACAUUACAUACAAGACGGAAAGGAAAUUUCAUGGACGGGGUAGCAAAUAAGGUGAUAAAAUACAAAAAUCUAUACAAUAUUUCAAAAAUCGAAACAAAAAGGAACUUUUUCCAUGUGUAUAGUUGAAAUUCAUUGAAAAUAUAUAGAUAAGUCAAUAUACAAAAUUUGAGGAAGAUUGGAGGUGAUUUUAACUGGUUUUGUAUCAAAAUUCUUAAUUAAAUCGAGUUCGAAAAAGUCUUUUGCGACACAUGUAUCAAACAUAUAUCACGCAUGUAUCUCACACACAGGUUUCUAUGGAUAUACAUGUGAUACACAGUUGAUACACAGUUGAUAUAUGUGAUACACAAAUGAUACACAGUGUAAUACACAUAUCAUUUUUUUCAUGUUCAGCUUUUACUUCGAAUUUUCAAUUCAAACCGCAUCAAGACUUCACCAAAUCAUCCAAAGCUGAGAUUCAAGCUCCUUAAGUUGUGCCUAAUAUAUUCUAAUAACACCCACUCAAAACAAAGCAAAAAUUUGAUAAUUUUUUUUGGCUAAUAUUAGUAAUAUGUUAUCAAUUUAUCAAUUUUUGUAAUGAGCUACUUAUAAAUGGACAUAGAUGACAAUUUUCCUAUAUUAUAUUGGAAUACUUUUCCGGAUUAUGAAUAGUAUUUUCGUUCAGAUUUAUCUUUACAUGAAAAAUGGUUAAAUUUCUAUUACUUUUGAAACUGUGGCUAUUUUUAAAUGACCACCUAUUAAAGUAUUAACAGCACACUAACUGAAAUAGGUACUCAUAGUAAAAUUAACGGCAUGGCUAGCCACUUUUCGAUCCGGUAAUUAAAAAAUAGCCAACAUUUACAAAGUCAUUAAAAAUAGUUAUUAUUUGUUGUAGUACUGAAAAUUCUAGCAUAAUAUACAUUUUCGAUCCGGUAGUUAAAAAAUAGCCAACAUUUACAAAGUCAUUAAAAAUAGUUAUUAUUUGUUGUAAUACAGAAAAUUCUAGCAUAAUAUACUGGAGAUUGUUGAAGCACAUGUAUAUGAACUUCCAGCAUAUUAUGCUGGAAUUCCAACACACGAAAAGUUCCAAUAUAAUAUACAUGAGAUUGGAGCAUUUGUGUAUGAACUUUCAGUAUAUUAUGUUGGAACUUCAUCACAUUAUGAAAUUCGAGCGUGUUAUGCUGGAAGUUCAUAUGUAAAACAUUCGAAUUCCAGCAUACUAUAUGCUGGAAUAUUUUUCGAAUUUUGAACAAUAUUUUUGUUCAAAUUUAUCUUUAUACGAAAAGUGACUAAAUUUUUAUUCUUUAAAAUUGUGGUUAUUUUUCAAUUAUUACUUAUAAACCCGACUAUUCUUUAAUGUGACCCAAUAAAAACUCCAUAAAUUCAAGAUUAGUGUUUAGGAGAGGCCAGUAAAAUUGAAGGGGGUAACUAUUUUGUUACAAAGGCAGCAACUCUCCUUUAAUUUUUAAUCGUGAUUAGCAACAUUACAUACAAGACCAGAGGAAAUUCAAGAGGGUUCAUCAACAAGUUAUAUAGGCAGGAGCGCGGAAAGAAGAUCCAGAGGGUAUAAGUUUCAUCAUUUAAAGAAGAAUCAUUAUCAUCUUCUCUAGAGCCACAAGCUUCAACAUUCUUCCUCUUUUAAGAGGACUCAUUCAGAAUUUGGUCUUGUGUUAUGCUAACGGAAAGCCUAGCAGUAGGAAUAGAAGCGGGACAAAUACAAUGAGCAGCAAAUCCUAAGAAUAACGGAAAAGGUUAAAGAAAAAAAUACAUAAGAUGAAGUCAUAGUAAAAAAGAAUAUUUUGGGUUUUUACUUUCUUCCCAAACUUUUGGUAGAGAAAUUGUCAUGAUCUAUGUUAUAAGGGCGACAGUCAAUAUUUUUUCUACCCCAUCAAGAAAGUAAGAAAAUUCACCAAAAAAUAUCGAUGAUUACUAGAACGUAAAAAAAACGCGCAUGAGAAAACUGAGGCCUUGAAAGAAGCAGAAAGGCGAAAAAAAAUACUCACGUGCAAAGUUUCACUUCUCCGGACGAGGUAGCAAAUAAGGUGAUAAAAUACAAAAAUCUAUGCAAUAUUUCAAAAUCUAAACAAAAAAGGAACUUUUUCCAUGUGUAUAGUUGAGAUUCAUUGAAAAUAUAUAGAUAAGUGAAUAUAUAAAAUUUGAGUAAGAUUGGAGGUGAUAUUAACUGGUUUUGUAUCAAAAUUCGUAAUUAAAUGGAGUUCAAAAAAGUCUUUUGCGACACAUGUAUUAAACAUAUAUCACACAUGUAUCUCACACACAUGUAUACAUGGAUAUACAUGUGAUACAGAGUUGAUACAAAUAUGAAAUAUAUAUAUAUAUAUAUAUGUUGAUUUCAUGAGUACCCUUUCUGCACCUGUCCUUUUUCUGUAACCCAUAAUUUCAAACUUGAUUUUGGUUCAUGCAAACUCAAAGGAACAGCUAGUGUGUAUAUAUGUAGACACAAAAGUAUUAUUAAUGCAGAGUUGGCAAAACAUGUGUUUAAUCUAUGGCGCAUGUAAACUCAUGCAUGUGAAUAGGUGAUGGCUUUGGUUUGACACUUAGGUCGACUCAUAUGUCUGGC